This 391-nucleotide unclassified non-coding RNA is filed under the name soil metagenome. RNAcentral describes it as "partial contains 5.8S ribosomal RNA, internal transcribed spacer 2, and large subunit ribosomal RNA". The stretch from base 1 to 122 matches the Rfam family "5.8S ribosomal RNA", at positions 35 to 154 of the family's 154-position model. The record is from RNAcentral.
GAUGAAGAACGCAGCGAAAUGCGAUACUUGGUGUGAAUUGCAGAAUCCCGUGAACCAUCGAGUCUUUGAACGCAAGUUGCGCCCGAAGCCACUAGGCCGAGGGCACGCCUGCCUGGGCGUCACACGCCGUUGCCCCCCCAUCUACUCCUUCGGGAUUGCGGGGGGGCGGAUGAUGGCCUCCCGUGCGCCUAGCCGCGCGGUUGGCAUAAAUACCAAGUCCUCGGCGACGCACGCCACGACAAUCGGUGGUUACGAAACCUCGGUUGCCCGUCGUGUGCGUUCGUCGCGCAUCGAGGGCUCGAAAAAAUGCUCGGCUCCGGCUGGGCUUUCAACGCGACCCCAGGUCAGGCGGGGUUACCCGCUGAAUUUAAGCAUAUCAAUAAGCGGAGGA